GACGAACGCUGGCGGCGUGCUUAACACAUGCAAGUCGAACGAAGCGCGCUGGACUCUUGCUUCUCUCAAUCUUAGUGGCGAACGAGUGAGUCACACGUAAUCAACCUGCCCUUCAGAGGGGGACAAAAGUUGGAAACUACUGCUAAUACCACAUACGAUCCAAUCUCGGCAUCGGGGCUGUAUGAAAGGUGGCCUCUAUUUAUAAGCUAUAACUGAAGGAGGGGAUUGCGUUUGAUUAGCUAGAUGGAGGGGUAACGGCCCACAGAGGCGCUGAUCAGUAGCAGGCCUGAGAGGAUGAACGGCAACACUGGGACUGGGACAUGGCCCAGAACACUACGGGAGGCAGCAGUGGGGGAUUUCUCGCAAUGGACGAAAGUCGGACGGAGGAACGCCGGGUGAGUGAUGACGGCCGUCGGGUUGUGAAGCUCUGUUAAUCGGGACGAAUGGUUAUUGUGCGAAUAGUGCGAGGAUUUGACGGUACCGGAAGAGAAAGCCACGGCUAACUACGUG
RNAcentral lists this ribosomal RNA (510 nucleotides) under uncultured bacterium. RNAcentral describes it as "partial 16S ribosomal RNA". It matches the Rfam family "Bacterial small subunit ribosomal RNA", at positions 28 to 507 of the family's 1533-position model. The record is from RNAcentral.